AAACCAGCACCUCAAGUGGUCAGGAGGAUUAUUGGGCCUAAAGCAUCCGUAGCCUGUUCUAUAAGUUUCCGGUUAAAUCCACUAGCUCAACUAGUGGGCUGCCGAAAAUACUGUAGAGCUAGGGAGUGGGAGAGGUAGACGGUACUCGGUAGGAAGGGGUAAAAUCCUUUGAUCUAUUGAUGACCACCUGUGGCGAAGGCGGUCUACCAGAACACGUUCGACGGUGAGGGAUGAAAGCUGGGGGAGCAAACCGGAUUAGAAACCCCGGUAGUCC
Molecule: ribosomal RNA, 274 nt
Filed under: uncultured bacterium
Lineage: Bacteria
Description: partial 16S ribosomal RNA
Rfam family: Archaeal small subunit ribosomal RNA
Source: RNAcentral